UGAGAUAUCUUUUGAUUAGCUCUAGAUCAAGAGCUACCUUUGCGUAGCGAUGAGCGACAUUUGCAUGUAUUACCUGAAUA
RNAcentral lists this small nucleolar RNA (80 nucleotides) under Exophiala spinifera. Its description in RNAcentral is "A. fimigatus snoRNA Afu_199". It matches the Rfam family "A. fimigatus snoRNA Afu_199". The record is from Rfam by way of RNAcentral. Lineage: Eukaryota; Fungi; Ascomycota; Eurotiomycetes; Chaetothyriales; Herpotrichiellaceae.